AUACCAGUUCUUAGCUGGAAAUUGCUUAGAGCUUCUCAUACAGGUCCCCCACAUCUCUAUCCUUAAGUUCAGAGUGGGGAAGGAACCUUGACA
Non-coding RNA from Chelonoidis abingdonii (Abingdon island giant tortoise), 93 nucleotides. Lineage: Eukaryota; Metazoa; Chordata; Testudines; Testudinidae. The record is from RefSeq and is a predicted model, not a curated record.